GAGUUUGAUCCUGGCUCAGAACGAACGCUGGCGGCAUGCCUAACACAUGCAAGUCGAACGAUUGCCUUCGGGUGAUAGUGGCGCACGGGUGCGUAACGCGUGGGAAUCUGCCCCCUGGUCUGGGAUAACCAUUGGAAACGAUGGCUAAUACCGGAUGAGAUCGCGAGAUCAAAGAUUUAUCGCCAGGGGAUGAGCCCGCGUCCGAUUAGCUAGUUGGUGAGGUAAGAGCUCACCAAGGCGACGAUCGGUAGCUGGUCUGAGAGGAUGAUCAGCCACACUGGGACUGAGACACGGCCCAGACUCCUACGGGAGGCAGCAGUGGGGAAUAUUGGACAAUGGGCGAAAGCCUGAUCCAGCAAUGCCGCGUGAGUGAUGAAGGCCUUAGGGUUGUAAAGCUCUUUUACCCGGGAUGAUAAUGACAGUACCGGGAGAAUAAGCUCCGGCUAACUCCGUGCCAGCAGCCGCGGUAAUACGGAGGGAGCUAGCGUUGUUCGGAAUUACUGGGCGUAAAGCGCACGUAGCGGCUUUGUAAGUUAGAGGUGAAAGCCUGGAGCUCAACUCCAGAAUUGCCUUUAAG
Molecule: ribosomal RNA, 577 nt
Filed under: uncultured Sphingomonas sp.
Lineage: Bacteria; Pseudomonadati; Pseudomonadota; Alphaproteobacteria; Sphingomonadales; Sphingomonadaceae
Description: bacterial SSU rRNA
Rfam family: Bacterial small subunit ribosomal RNA
Source: RNAcentral